GAAAAAAAAAGUAGGUCUCCAAUUGCAGUUACUUCUUCCACUCGUACUGUUGCAGAUUUUAUUAAAUAAAUUUAUGGAACAACCAAUAUCCCAACUAAUAUCAACUAUUUCUUUUUGGGUGCCUGAAGAAAUAAAUAAGCGUAAGUAUCAAGAAUUAAAUCAAUAAAAUUAGAUGAUAAUAUAAUACCUCCAGCAUGACCCAUGCGACGCCCUGGUGGGGCAGUAAGUCCAGCUAUAAAUGCCACAAUAGGCUUUUGAGUUCCACUUUCCUGUUUGUUGAACCAAAGUAGUUGUUGAAUUUCAGAAAUAGGAGAAUGAGAUUCUAUUAGAUUAAAAAAAGGGGGGUUUAAGAUGAACAAAGUUUAAGAAACCGCACUGUUAGUUAAUGAAUUGAGCAUAAUACAAUAUGUUAUCAAGGGAGCCAGAAUUUUGCAAGAGAAAGAAUCAUCUAUAGAGAAACAAAUAGACAAAUGUUGCACAGGUGUUGAUCUAUAUUUUAUACACAAGCACAAGACUGGUAAUGGCUUGGAGUUAAGAGGAAGAACUAAAUGCGUGAAAUGAUCAGCUUAAUGUUCAAUUCACCCCUAUACUUAUUGAGAAUGUUCUAUUUAGCUCAUUUUCAAUGUUUUGUCUAAACAAGCCCAGGAGUUUCAAUUCAAACUCAAUUUAGUAAAAAAAAAGUUGAGCUUCUUGAUGUUUAGGUUAAAUUAAGAAUUCAAUAAAUAUAGCUCAAAAAUAAAGAAAAAUUAGCUUGCUGAUUUUGCAAAUUUAACUUUCGGGCUAAAUUGAACUUAAAAUGAAACAUCUGAACUAAUUUGGGAAAAAAGUUCAAAAUUAGCUAAAUUGGACAUCCCAGAAAAGUACAGAGGUGAACCUUUAGUUUGAAAGGAUCCAUACAGCAAAAAGAAAAUUGUGUUGAAUAUGGUCAGUAUUUUUAGAUCAGAUCAAUCUCAACUAUUGUUCUCUGUAAAAGAGCACAAGGGCAUCAUCGGCAGAUGUGAGAGUUUACAUAAAACUUCUGGCUCUGGCAUAUAAGAUUGAAGAUGCAUAUCCCGCUAAAUCUAAACAGUUUAGCAUUUUUACUCAAAAAAAUAACUCAUUACAAAAAGUGGUGGUGUAUUAUUGACUAAAGUGCAACCCAUCCUUUUUUGCACUUUUAUAUUGUAUUAACUUUAUCUAUUACUAUAACUUGUCACUUUUAUGUCGUAGAACUUUAUCUAUUCCUACAGAUCGUUAAGAUCGCCACAGCAGUGCGUUGACUGGGAUAGAAAUUACAAAUGCUUAAUUGGAGAGCUUGCCAAAGGUAUGAGAAUAUUGGCCUGUCACAUGGAUAUCUAUUUGUGCUGGAUGAGUCGCUUGUGCAUGUUAGACGAGUAUCAUGUAAAAGAAGUUUUAUCUUAGCUUAACAAUUUCAUUAGGAAUGCAUUUCAUUAUCUUUGUUUUCUUUGUUGGCAGCAGUAUCAUUUUGGAUCUUUGAUUGGAGAUCUCUUUCUUCUGUUGUCUUUGUUGCAUCUUUUUAGCUCUUUUCUUUUUUUCACUUCCUAACUAUUGGAAUUUUAUCCUUCCCUUCAACGCUGCUAAGCAUGAUGUAGUCUCUCUCCCAGCCAGUACACGCCCUCAAAUUUCUCAGAGCUUCCUUGUCGUUGUACAUCAAGGAAACCACCAGGGCAACUGAAGUACAUGAUCUUGUCAAGGGAAUUUCACUCAAGGGAGUUGGGCCCAGCAUUGGGACUCUGCUGGAAUCUUUUGCAUUUGUAGGCAAGAAGAAGUGAACAAAUGGAAGAGUGUGGAAGAAGUAGGCAUGCCUUUGAAUGAAAGAGAUAGCAGUGUGAAUGAGAGAGGCUUCUAAAGGUUUCAGUGUUCAAGAAAUGGGAAGAAACCCCAAAUGGCAAAAAAAAAUGCAAAAUUUUCUACAAGAAGAAACAAAAGAAGAAAUUGCUGAUACUAAGAAAAGAAAAUUGAAUCGAAUUCUGGAAGUUAUUAUAUUGUGAAGUUAUGCUAUGUUGAUGGAUCAGCUUAUGAUUUUGUUUAAAAGUGUUUUGCUUACUCCGUAGUUGUGAUUUUGUGUUUGGAAUUAAUUGAAUUAUGAAAAGAAUGAGGAUAUUGAAUAGGGAAAGAAUGGGGAAGAGGACGAGAGAGAAUUUUUUUUGGAGAAAGAAAAGAGACUAUGUGGAGGGAAAGAAAAAGUUUCAUAAUAUUAAACUAACAUAAUCAACACGCCAAAUCAGCAUUCUGGCCAAGAGAAACCAUGGGAAUCUGGACACAAGGUUUUUUGUGCAACAAAAAUAAAGUUAAAAGAUUUUCAUGGCAGUUGUUGAAAUUUAAGGACAGAAGUUGAAAACCCUCACAGUUAAAGAUAGGGGCAGUGCAAUUAACCCAAGUGAUGCAUAUUAACAACGUGAGUGGAUUGUUAGAGAUUACUCGAUUAGAACAGUGUACAAGAAAAUGCAAAAGCAUGCACAUUCCUUAGAACAUGAGAAAACAAAUCUAGUUACCUUAAUCAAAGCAGCGGCAUCCUCCUCUGCAGUACCUCCUAUUUCACCAAUAAGAAUGAUACCUGCAAUGCAAUUCACAUUACUGGUCCCACAUCUGCAUUAGGAUCAACAUCAUAUACCAUACACAUUUGAAAAGAGGAUUCAGAGGGAAAAUACCAGGGAACUAGAAAACCAAAAUGAUGUAAAUGUGUGAAAAAUUAUUAGGUCUUUAAAAGAGUCCAACCAAAUAUUUUUCUUAUAUGCAGAAUAACCUUGGAAAACUAAAGCCAAAAAUAGUUGAGCAGCGCUCAAAACAUACAUUGACAAUAAUCUAAAAUUCAAGAGUUACUAACAUCAAAAGUUCAAAAUCAUACAAUCUAUGUGCCUCCUGAGAUAGUUGGCAUAUAUAGGAUAACCUUUAUCUUUUUGGUCAACCCGGAAUGAUUCUCUAGGUGAUUCAAAAUUGAAGCCCAUAAAAACCUCACAGUUAUCAUUGGUUUUCUAGAGAUCAUACAUGUCAUUGGAUCUCUUGUUUCAAGUUGAAAACUCCUAUUUUGUUUAUUUUUUUAUCUUAAAAAAAAUGAGGUUUGCACGGAAUGCGAGCAAAAUCGAACUUUUCUUAUAAAGUGUGCAAACUGACAUUGGGAUAUCUAAGAACCUAGGGACAAAUUAGGUUGCAGCUUUGCACACAUUCCAUGAAAAAAGCAAUGAGGUAUACAUGCCUCAGACCUAGCCUAACCUAACUAGUGAUAGAAAUUGGAAACAAGUGAGAGCUUACACAGUUGUGGUGUGUUACAGAAGAUACUAAUUCGAACUCUAAUGGAGAAAGACAGGCAUAUAAAGAAUAAUUUCCAAGGUGUGUUUGCUUCAAUCGACUAGAUUGGACUACAGAGGGCAAAUUAUCCCAUCCUAUAACUGGUGCACUAAUUGAAUAAGAUAUGGAUUUCGUCACAUUCAACCCUCUCUCUUUUUGCCCCUUUCCCUCAGUGGAUAGAUCGUUCAUUCCAAAGGUAAAAGAGCAAUAAAAUUUAUGGUUAAGAAAUAUUCCAAGAUAAUUAAAAUACCAAUAUUAUAAAUAAAAAAAGGUAUUUAAGGUAAUAUUUAUUAUUUAUCAUAUAUCCAUAAUUAUUUGAAAAUUUUACUACUUAGUCCCUGAGUUUCAUCAAUAUAAUUAAAAUAUCAAUUUUACUACUUAAAAUUUCAUUCCUCAAUUUUGUAAUUAAUUACAAUUUCAUCCAUCAUAUCCAUCUCUUCGUUUCUCCCUCUCUCCUUGACACUCUCCCUCUCCAUAUAUCUCUCUCCUCCACAAGAGAUGAUAUAAGGGGUUUAAAAUUAAAGGAUGAAAUCAUAAGUAAUUGCAAAACUAAGGGAAUGAAACUAUAAAUAAUUCAAUAUAUCAGUACUAAAUAGUAAUUUAUCUUAAAAUACUAAUGCAAAAUGGAUGAAAGGACCUAAUUACCUAUGACAAGCAAAAUCGGAGAACCAAUUAUCUAAUUUCUAAAUUACUAUUCGUGAAAAAAAAUCUAAGGACUAAACAGUAAAUUUUCUUUAUUAUUUUAAAUAAUUGUCUUAUCAUACAUGAUCAAACAUAAAACAGGAUGAGUAUGGUGACAUGGCCAUGUUUGCUUGUGGAAAACAAUUUUACUUUUCAUUUCAUGUUCUAAGAAAAUUUUUGUUUUCAUACUUUGUAUGAAAAACGAGGAAAACAUGCAAAAUACAUUCACCCAUUACUAAUAGCAAAAUAUUUUCUAAUUCAAAAAAAUUAAAAGAACUAUUCAUAUCUUUUUCUUUAAUAAUUAAAACUCAUUUUAAUAUAUAAAUUAAAAACUUAUUUUACUUUUGGGAUAUUGGCAUUAAAAAGCCGAACCUUUGCAGGUUUUAUCGUUUUAAUCCAAUUCUUUUAUUCUUGGCAUAAUAAACCGGAAUCAAAAACCAUUUUGCGAUUCUAUCAAAAUUCCUAAUAGCAGAGCGUGUGUCAACAACUGAGGUGACGUGUAAUAGAAUUUUUUAUUACUUUUAGAUGGGACCCGUACGACACCUAGGGUACCACCACUUGUCAAUUAACCCUUUGGUUAAGAAAAUAACCAAGGAUUGUGUGAUUUAAGGAAAUAAAAAUCUCAAAACACUCAUCUUUCACCCCAAAACCCAUUUCCAACUCCUCUAGUCAUUGGAUCCAUCACUUAAGAAAUCCUUCCAAUCUCACAUUCAAUUCCUAGCUCAAGCCUUCCUGUAGCAACUUCAUUUUCAUAAAUCCAGAACCAGCUCACAAGACCUCACACACCUUGAGCCCCCCCACUCAAUCCAUCCACUCCUGUCCAACGUAUUUAAUGCUCAACAGAGAGUUCUCCAAAAGCCUCAGCUCCUUGGCCAUUGCUGCACCACCAACCUCUCCACCUACAGCUCUAACCUCGCCCAACACCCAUAAUUACAAACCCAUCUCACCUUUUUUUUUUUUUAUAUUCGUUCUUGGAACAGAAUACAUCUAUUUAUCAUUCAAGGGAGAAGCACAUGGGUAUUCUUCCAACAGUAGAGACUCAAAUUCAACUCUAAACCGAAGAAGCAAUUGGGCCCAAUACACUUUCUGCAGGUUCCUAUCAAUCCCAUUCAUACAGAAGCACCAACUCAAUCUCAUGCCGCAGAUCCUGGAAGUCCCAGAAUUGUCAUUCGUCCUCUUCUUUCCAACUGAAUGCUCUCAACACUAAAUUAGCAUACCCAGCUUGCAGAUAUCAUAGAACCCAUCAUGAAUGAUUACUGGAGUUUGAUUUUGUGUCUAUACAUUGAAUAAACUGAUGAUAGGAUUGCUUGUUUCCUUUCUCCCAUGUUUAACACACUAAUGGCUUUCUCUUUCUCUAGCUCAGCUAAGAGUUCUCAAUUUGGGAAUUAGGGAUUCUGUGAGCUUAAUUUUUAAUUAAUGACUUCCUUUUUCUCUAUCUUAAUUUUAUUAAUUUGCCUUUAAAUUAAAAUAAUUGAUAAAUUAACAACAGUUACUUUUGUGUAACCAUGGUAAUCUUAGGUGUCUUGUUGGUCCCACUCGAAAGUAAUAAAAAAUUUCAUAAAUAUACCACGUCAGCUAUUAGCACCCGCUUCCUUUUUAGAAUUCAAAUUUGAAUAGAAUUGCAAAAAAGUUUUAGAUCUUGGCUUAUUGUGUCAAGAAUAAAAGGAUUGGAUUAAAACGCCAAAAUCCGUAAAUGUUUGGCUUUUUAAUGCCAAUAUCCCUUUACUUUUUUAUGUAUUAUUCAUUUAUUUUAUUAUAAUAUGAUUAAUCUUUUUGUCAUUGUAAAUAUAUAACUUUUUAAAAUAAUUAUUCAAUAUUAGUUAUGGAAAAUUAUAGUACAAUUUUAUUUAUCAAAAGCAAUUAUUAUUUUCCAUUUAGAAUACAGUUGGAAAAUAAGAAUUUUGUUAUAUUGGAAAAUGGUGAAAACAACAUAAGUUGUUUUCCAAAUCAUAAUUAAAUUUGAAAAACUAGAAGCUAGCUUUUCAAUUCGCCAUCUAGAAAACUGGCACAUGUGAGCACUAAACUCUAUUUUCCAUUUCAUAACUUUCUUGUUUUGUCCUAUGUUGUAUUUUCCUUGCACCAAAUGCAACCCUAUACAGCAGGAGAUUUUGGCUUUUAUUGAAAGAAUUGGGAGUUUGGUUGAUUUAACUAAUUAAACAAGCAAGCAAGACCAAAUAUUUAAUCCUUUCCCUUGAAUCAGGAGAGAACCUAAAUUUGGAAUUACCAUAUUGAGGAAAACAGAAAAACCCAAACACCUGCAUUUGGAACGGUAUACCAUACAUUUAGGAAAACAGAACUGCCCAAACAACCUGAAGAGUCUUUCUUAAAAAGAUUGGAGUUUCAAAAGGUCUUUCUUGCAACACUUGAUUAUCUAUGGCCCUUUUCAUCAUUAACUGAAAAAUGAUUCAUGCAUCCAACACAAAGCAUGCUUUUGGCAUUACUCUUCAAAAUAUGAAAAUGGCAAAUAUGAACUGAGAAAGCAAGAUCAAUCACUUCUCAAUUAGAAGUUUACCUUCAGUCUGAGGAUCUACAAGAAACUUCUCCAGGCAGUCAACAAAAUUUGUACCAUUGAAAGGAUCACCACCAAUACCUACACAAGUAGAUUGCCCUAGACCAACAGCAGUUGUUUGAAAGACCUAAUGUAUCAUAAGAAAUGAAGUCAUUCACAAAAUUUACAAAAUCUGUUUAUGAUCAGCAAGUUGCACCAUGGGCAUUAGGCAGAUUAUCAAUGUCAUAGGACCAACAUAUCAUUUGUGAAUAAUUUGUUUACAUGCCCUACUUUGGCUAUCUUACCAUCGAUUACUGGGAAUUUACAACAAACUUAGAAUUAUGGCUGUGAGGUGAUGGCAUCACAUAUAUGAUGUAUUGGAUUGGUGUACAAUGAGAUCAUGCAAGCUAUUGUUUCAACAGUACCUAAAGUUUCUAUAUAUUUUAAUGCACCAUAAACUGAACCUAUAUCAGCAUUAAGAUAAACAGUAAUAUUGCAAGGCAUGUAGCCAGAUAAAAAUAAUCUCAAUAAUUAGCUGAAAAUUGGUAAACAAAGGUCUAAUCUUUACCAACUAAGAAAGUUAAUGAAAUUAAUAUUUUAAGUGGAUUGAAUUCUCUUUCACUUUUUUAGAAAUGAUAAGAAAUUUUUUCAAAGGAAAGGAUGAAGAUAUGAAGAUGGAGGAUAUGAAUCCACCUGCCCCAAGGAAAAAAAUUAAAAAGAAAAAAGAAAAAGAAAAAUUGCAACGUAUCAACAGACUUUAGAAAUGGAAAAAGAUUGUAUUUCGAAAAUAACCAACGUAUCAACAGACUUUUCCUCUAUAGGAACUCAAUAAAAGAAAAAUAAAGCUGUCCAGAAUAGCACAGCCCCAGGACUCAAUCCCGAGCAGAGAAUUCUGCCCCUUACAAAGAAUAUUUCCCAAAACAUGCCUCCCUUAUUAUUAGCUAAUCAUUAUAUAGUACUCUAGCUCUCCAGCUACCACAACUAAUUCUUUGCCACCUAAUAUUCCCUGUGUAUUGUCUCUAUCAGCUGCAGUCCUACUGUCCCACUAUCCAUGGUUCUAUUGCCAUCCAUUGUGACCUUAAUCCUUCUAGAGUAGACCCUCAAUGGCCUAGGCCAGCCCAUUCUCUAUCAUUGGGCUUCACCAAAUCAGGCCAGCACCUGGCAUGGGAGGAGUUUCCAACUUUUUAAGGAAGGGUUUUUCUUAUAAUAUGCGAAUACUAUACUACUAUAUAUUACACUUGAAUUUGUUAAUCCCUCCACCUGUGCAUGAUAUUUAAUCACUCCAUUUGGUUAAUCCCUCCACCAAUGCUAGAAAUCACUGGAUGAUGCAACUUAUAAAAGCAUACACCUGAAUACAAAAGUGUAAAUCACCUGACAAUUCAAUUCGCUAUUGUCAGCAUAACACCUGAGCAAUCCAUAAAAUAUUUGCCGCAGAAAUUGGCAACAUAUAAUUUCAGGUCAAAUUUUAUGUCUAACAAGUUAGGCUAAGCUAUAAUGCAAAUGUGCAAUCACAUUUCUUAAAAGACAUCAAAUCAAAAGACAUGUACGAUUAAUCAAGUUUAUUAAAAGAUAUCAAAUUCAAAAGGCAUGUGAUACAUACGUGAAACAUAUGCAAGUAUAAUAGCUUAACCAUACUUGGCAAGAAUUACUUAACAACUUCAAGGAACUUUAUCAAGGCCAUAAAACUAUGUAUAUGAGGCUCAUAAAAUAGAUGAGAUAAAUAGAAGAAAUGUCAAGA
This 8195-nucleotide long non-coding RNA is filed under the name Manihot esculenta (cassava). RNAcentral's name for it is "long non-coding RNA (MESC_LNC006725)". The record is from RNAcentral. Lineage: Eukaryota; Viridiplantae; Streptophyta; Magnoliopsida; Malpighiales; Euphorbiaceae.